AGACACUGAGGAUCAGGCAGAGAGAGAGGCUCCUGCCAGGCUGAGCUGUGCUCUGAGGAACAUUUCGGGAGCCUCCAGAACUGAAGAGGGGGCCAACUCUCUGGAGAAAAAUGAAUGGAUGUAGGCCCAAAGGAGCCGAAUGUUUUCCUUGGCUGAAUGGCAAGCAAGCACCAAGUGUCCACAGUUUCCGGAGUGUGGAUAUGAACAGCCGUCUUGGGUCCUGAGGUGGAAGCCAUGUGUGGAAGAUGGAGGGCAUCGGUUAGAAGGAGUCUAGUCCCUGAUGGUCACUGAGCUGCAGAACCAGCCUGGGCUGCUUCCUGCUGGAUGUCACUUACUAGAGAGCGAAAUUAAAUGUGCUUCAGCUACUGUUACUUUGGGUUUUCUGUCAUUUGUAGCUGAAAUAAUCCUAAUCAAUAUGAGAUAUAUUAAGUAAACAAAAAUGCAAAUGAAAACGAUUAUGAAUUGUAUGAUUCCAAUUUUAUCUUCUUUUAUGUGAUUUAAGUCUUUAACUUUUAACCCAGAUGAUUUUAUUUUAAAAUGUGUGUUUAUAUACAUCCAUAUGUACAUAGAAAAAAGACAGGAAUGUUGAAAGCUAAAGUAUUAGUAGAGAUUAUUUCAGGAUGGUAGGUUAUAAGGAUUUCAUGUGCUUAUUUAUUUACCUUUUGUUUGUUCAUCUGUAUUUGCUAAUUUUUCUAUUUUUUUAUUUUUAUUUUUUGAGACAGGAUCUCACUUUGUCACUCAGGCUGGAGUACAGUGGCACAAUCAUGGCUCACCACAGCCUUGACCUCCUGGGCUCAGGUGAUCCUCCCACCUCAGCCUCCUGAAUAGCUAGGACUUGGUACCUGCCACCACGCCUGGAUAAUUUUUGUAUUUCUUGUUGAGACAGGGUUUCGUCAUGUUGUCCAGGCUGAUCUCGAACUCCUGCGCUCAAACAAUCCACUGCCUCAGUCUCCCAAAGUGCUAGGAUUACAGGCGUGGACCACCAUGCCCGGCCUCUAAUUUUUCUUCAACAAAACUGUAUUACUUUUUAAAUAAGAAAAAAUAAUAAAAGGUAUAAAGUGUAUGACUUAAUGAGAUCCAUAUGUAUUGCAGUAAUAAAAAAAACCUGAAGCCAAGGCGGGUGGAUCAUUUGAGGUCAGGAGUUCGAGACCAGCCUGGACAACAUGGUGAAACCUCGUUUCUACUAAAAAUACAAAAAUUAGCCAGGAGUGGUGGUAUGUGCCCGUGAUCCCAGAUACCUGGGAGGCUGAGGCAGGAGAAUUGCUUGAAACCAGGAGGUGGAGGUUACAGUGAGCCAAGAAUCCACCACUGCACUCCAGCCUGGGCGACAGAGCGAGACUGUGUCUCAAAAACAAAAAAACAAAACAAAACAAAAAAAACCUUAUUCUCAGAAUGAAGAUCUGAAAUAAGAAACAAACAAACAAACAAAAAAUAUUUUAAAAAGGAAAUAGAAAACAAAUAACUUAUUCAUGAUUCCAUGGGAAAAAAGACUGAAAAUAAGUGUUCUAAAGUAAAUAAGGGCAUGAGAAAUUGUUCAAAAUAUAGUGUUAAAGAGAAAAAAGGUUAUUCAACAAUAUGAUGCCAUUGUUUUUGAUAAAAAGAAUUAAACAACAUAAAUGUAUGCUAGAAAAAGAACUAGAAGGAAAUAAGCUGAUAUAUUGGUGGUCUGGUUCCAGAGGAGAGAUUUUAGUGAUUCUUAUUUUCCCCUUUAUACUUUUGGUAUUUUCUAAAUAUUUCUCUAAUAAACCUGUGCUAAUCUUAUUUAUUUCAAAAUGUUUCUACUUAGAGAAAUUUUAACAAGACAGAAAAGCAUGUUAUAAAGAAUAAUAAAAACACACACACAUCGCCACUGCUCAAAA
RNAcentral lists this long non-coding RNA (1859 nucleotides) under Homo sapiens (human). RNAcentral's name for it is "long independently transcribed non-coding RNA 2489 (LINC02489)". Lineage: Eukaryota; Metazoa; Chordata; Mammalia; Primates; Hominidae. The record is from RNAcentral.